This 1802-nucleotide long non-coding RNA is filed under the name Salmo salar (Atlantic salmon). RNAcentral describes it as "lncRNA (ENSSSAG00000113163.1)". The record is from RNAcentral. Lineage: Eukaryota; Metazoa; Chordata; Actinopteri; Salmoniformes; Salmonidae.
CCAGAUGUGAUGUCCAGAAGUUUAAGAAAAGUGGAGGAACAUCUGCAAAAAGACAGGGAGAGAUACUGGAAGAAAAAAAGAGACGGGAGAAGUGAAAUCUAUCUCUGAGCUUACAAAGCGAGAACAAAGAAACAAGAGAUGGCAAUGAAAAUGUAACCAACGCAAUAGAAGACAGACUUUAAAGAGAACAGUUGCAAUGGAUACCUACCUAUCAGGCAACACACCACCUCAGUCACCAGAUGAUUUGCAGCCAGAAUACGAGGCUAACAUACCUGCCCCUAACUUACCUGCCCCUGAUAAACACCCUGAUACCCCUUCCUCAUCGUCUGCAACAUGAAUGAGAAGUCGAAUACUUGCUGGAAGGAAAAAGGUUGGAAGAGGUCGCUCAAAAGCAUACAGAGAUCUUAGUAUGAAAAAUGUCAAUCUUGAUAAUCCUUUACGGAAAGCUGAGAAAUACAAAAAAAGGUAUCAUCGACUGAUGAACAAAAUGAAGAGACAAGAUUCCCCAAAGACAAAGACAAAACAGCAAAUGAAGGGAACUCCGAAGAACUUGAGAAGGAUUUUAUUGUUUCAAAAUGCCAUCAUUGCAGAGUUAAAACAAAAGUAUUAAAAAAAAUGUGCAGCACCAAAGACAAACAAGUGGCUUCAAAAAUGCUCAAAGGCAACAUCCUGAGAAAGUAUGGCCUGGUCAAAGCCGCAAACAGAGAAUUUGGAUUUUCAGCAAAAGCAAUGAGGGCAAAUGAAAACAGGCCAUCAAGUCUUCAAUACUCCAGGAAAAAUCAGUGUAACAGAAUUAGCACUGCCACAGAAGAGAAAAUCACUAGAUUCUAUGAACGUGAUGACAACAGCAGAGCAACAACAGGGAAAAAGGACACACUAACGAGGAACAAGAAGAAAAAGCAGAAGCGCUUCUUGAAUGCCACAAUUCAGAUCCUUUAUCAGAAGUUUAAGAGGGAAUAUUCAGAAAUUCAAAUUUCCUACUGUGAAUUCUGCAAAAUAUGUCCUUUUUGGGUUGUCAAGCCAACAGUCCAGGAUAGGGCCACAUGCCUCUGCAAAACCCACGCCAACCUCCAGUUCAUGGAGUACAAACUACAGUAUCACAAAGUGAUCAUCUGCAGCAACACGGAGAAAGUUGUUGAGUCUUUGUGCUGUGAGAACCUGGAGAAAGAGUGCAUGUAUAGAGAGUGCUUCCUUUGCCAAGCAAAAUAGCUUAAAACGUCUGACUUUGAUGCUGGUGAGCAGACAUGGUGGUUUGAGUGGAAAAACAAAACUGAAGAGAGAGAGAAGAAAAACAAAGAGGGAAACAUGGAGAAGUUCACUGUCCAUUUGACAGUAAAAGAAAAGGUAUGUGGCACACUGCAGAUUCUACUGGAGGACUUCUCCAAAGGAUUGAAAGAGAAGUUGGGGAAACACGUGUACAACAUUCGACACCAAUACUCAACUGAGAGAAUUAAGAGAAUCUGGGGAAAGAGGAGAUCAUUGUGCAUAUUGACUUUGCAGAGAACUACCUGUGUAAAUACACCAGUGAAAUCCAGGCAGUUCACUUUGGUGAUUCUCACAAGCAGGUGACCCUCCACACCUGUGUUGGAUAUACCACAAAUGAUACAGUUUCACUUUGCUCACUGAGCUCUUCUAUGUUACAUGACCCCUCUGCUAUCUGGGCCCAUCUCUCAAAAACAAAUCAAUCAAAUCAAAUUUAUUUUUAUAUAGCCCUUCGUACAUCAGCUGAUAUUCUCAAAGUGCUGUACAGAAACCCAGCCUAAAACCCCAAACAGCAAGCAAAGCAUGUGAAAGAAGCACGG